This 737-nucleotide ribosomal RNA is filed under the name Bacillus sp. R40(2013). RNAcentral describes it as "bacterial SSU rRNA". It matches the Rfam family "Bacterial small subunit ribosomal RNA", at positions 54 to 771 of the family's 1533-position model. The record is from RNAcentral. Lineage: Bacteria; Bacillati; Bacillota; Bacilli; Caryophanales; Bacillaceae.
CAUGCAAGUCGAGCGAAUGGAUUGAGAGCUUGCUCUUAUGAAGUUAGCGGCGGACGGGUGAGUAACACGUGGGUAACCUGCCCAUAAGACUGGGAUAACUCCGGGAAACCGGGGCUAAUACCGGAUAACAUUUUGAACUGCAUGGUUCGAAAUUGAAAGGCGGCUUCGGCUGUCACUUAUGGAUGGACCCGCGUCGCAUUAGCUAGUUGGUGAGGUAACGGCUCACCAAGGCAACGAUGCGUAGCCGACCUGAGAGGGUGAUCGGCCACACUGGGACUGAGACACGGCCCAGACUCCUACGGGAGGCAGCAGUAGGGAAUCUUCCGCAAUGGACGAAAGUCUGACGGAGCAACGCCGCGUGAGUGAUGAAGGCUUUCGGGUCGUAAAACUCUGUUGUUAGGGAAGAACAAGUGCUAGUUGAAUAAGCUGGCACCUUGACGGUACCUAACCAGAAAGCCACGGCUAACUACGUGCCAGCAGCCGCGGUAAUACGUAGGUGGCAAGCGUUAUCCGGAAUUAUUGGGCGUAAAGCGCGCGCAGGUGGUUUCUUAAGUCUGAUGUGAAAGCCCACGGCUCAACCGUGGAGGGUCAUUGGAAACUGGGAGACUUGAGUGCAGAAGAGGAAAGUGGAAUUCCAUGUGUAGCGGUGAAAUGCGUAGAGAUAUGGAGGAACACCAGUGGCGAAGGCGACUUUCUGGUCUGUAACUGACACUGAGGCGCGAAAGCGUGGGGAGCAA